AACUCCCUAACAACAGACCGCAUGCCCUGAGCCGCUUAAUGUCUCUUGUUCGUAGCUUUGAAAGGAAAGAAGAAAUGAAGGAACAUUUCAUCACGUUUAUGGACAAAAUAUUUGAAAACAAACAUGCAGAGCUUGCCCCUCCACUGAAAGACGAAGAGGAAUGUUGGUAUUUGCCACUAUUCGGUGUCUACCACCCUCGCAAGCCCAAACAGAUUAGGGUCGUCUUUGACAGCAGCGCGAAGUACAAGAAUGUGUCACUAAAUGAUGUGUUGUUGACAGGACCAGAUCUUAACAACUCACUGUUAGGUGUCCUAAUACGCUUCAGAAAGGAAGCUGUUGCCUUCACAGCCGACAUUGAACAGAUGUUUUACUGUUUCAAUGUUCGAGAGCAAGACAGAAAUUACUUGCGUUUUUUGUGGUUUCGUGACAAUGACAUUUCCAAAGACAUUGUAGAGUAUAGGAUGAGAGUCCACGUCUUUGGGAAUAGCCCAUCACCAGCAGUGGCCAUAUACGGCUUACAUCAGUCUGUUCUACGCAACCAGCCAGAUUGUGAUCCAGAUGUCAAGCAGUUUGUCACACACGACUUCUACGUAGACGACGGACUCAAAUCCCUCCCCACUGUUGAAAUGGCUGUGUCCUUAUUACAAAGAACCCGUGACACACUUGCAAACUCAAAUCUAAGACUGCAUAAAAUAGCAGCUAACAGAAAAGAGGUACUCGAAGCAUUCCCUUCACAAGAUCAUGCCAAAGACUUAAAGGACUUGGACUUUGAAGCUGAUUCAGUCCCCAUGCAACGUAGCCUGGGUCUCCUUUGGGACCUAAAGAAAGACUGCUUCACCUUUAGAGUGUCAGACGAGACAAAGCCCUUUACUAGACGAGGUGUUUUAUCAACAAUAAACAGCCUUUAUGAUCCAUUAGGCUUUGUAGCACCAGUAACAAUGCAGGGAAAGUCCAUUCUGCGUGAACUUAUGGCAGAGAAUGGAGACUGGGAUGCACCAUUGCCCUCAGAAAUGGAAGAGUCCUGGACCCUGUGGAAAGACUCACUUAAAGAACUGUCCAACUUGACCAUUCCCAGAGCAUACACAGAAAUUUCUCCCUCAACAACUACAAAAAAAGAGUUGUUGGUAUUUUCGGACGCAUCUACUAAGGCUAUAGCUGCAGUGGCCUAUUUAAGAGUAACAGAUGCAGCUAGGAACUGUGAAGUAGGCUUUGUUUUAGGUAAGGCAAAGUUAGCACCACGCCCAGAUCAGACCAUACCAAGAUUAGAGCUUAGUGCUGCUGUGUUAGCAGUCGAGCUUGCAGAUCUUCUCACUGACGAAUUAGGCUUUGAAAUAGACUACACUGCAUUCUAUACAGACAGUAAAGUAGUUCUAGGUUAUAUCCACAACGAGACAAGAAGAUUUUAUGUCUACGUGGCUAACCGUGUUACGAGAAUCCGCAAAUCUUCUCAACCAAGCCAAUGGCAUUACGUACCGAGCAGCCAGAACCCAGCAGAUCACGCCACACGUUCUGUUCCUGCUUACCAGCUACCUCUUAGUAACUGGCUCACUGGCCCUGACUUCAUGCUCCAAGAUCAAAGUCCCUCAAAUGACUCUUUUGAACUUGUUGAACCUUGCACAGACUCUGAUGUCAGACCACAGGUGUCUACACUCAAAACCACAAUCUCAACCAAACAACUUGGCUCUGACAGAUUCAACAAGUUUUCGACAUGGAAGUCUCUCAAGCGUGCUGUUUCGAGACUACUACACGUCAUACAUAACUUCAAAUCACUGCCAAGCAAAAUCAAUCACUGCCGUGGUUGGCACUACUGUGAGACAGGACUCACUGUAGACGAGUCAAACCAAACCCAAAAGGUAACCCCUCUUAAGGCUCCAGUUGGCAACUUUACAGCGUCAGACCUCUACAAACAUCAGUGGCGCCAAGUCCAGCACCUGUCAAACACCUUCUGGGACAGGUGGAAGAAGGAGUUCCUUCCCACUCUCCAACCACGUCGCAAGUGGCAUUCCAGUCAACUUAACGUGAGCGUAGGUACGGUCGUUAUACUCAAAGACAGCCAAAUUCCCCGAAAUGAAUGGCCUCUUGCACGUGUAACUCAGGUGUUCCCAAGUAAAGAUGGCAAAGUCCGUUCAGUAGAGCUAAGGGUAGUCAGGUCAGAUGAUACAAAGGUAUUGACCAGACCCAUCUCAGAAAUUGUACCUUUGAUUAUUUAAUGAGAGGUAUUUGUUUGUUUUUUCCAGUUAUUUUUGUGGCGUUUAUCCACGCCAAGCGGGGAGUGUUCUGUUACAACUAAAAGUUGUAAACUCUUGUUGUUGAAAUGUGUUGUGCUUAAAUAAGCUUGUUAUGUAAUUAAUAUUAUUACAUGUGUAUUUGUCGCCAUCAUGUGGUCAUGGCAGUUAAUACAUCUUUGAGAAGUGUGUAUUUUGAAUCAAACUUUAUUGACCGGAAGUUACAUAAGCCAAGCAGAGAAAUCUCCGGUUCCAGCACGUACUUUAUGGUGGUUAUUUUCGAAGAAAAACUGCAUAUAUCCUUUGUUUAAGGUUGCAUCGCCGUUUCACCCUUUUGAAUGUCAUUAAACCUGCUGACAACGCUCA
Entelurus aequoreus (snake pipefish) is the source of this 2591-nucleotide RNA transcript. RefSeq lists it as uncharacterized. The record is from RefSeq and is a predicted model, not a curated record. The transcript has 2 exons. Lineage: Eukaryota; Metazoa; Chordata; Actinopteri; Syngnathiformes; Syngnathidae.